Molecule: ribosomal RNA, 468 nt
Filed under: uncultured bacterium
Lineage: Bacteria
Description: partial 16S ribosomal RNA
Rfam family: Bacterial small subunit ribosomal RNA
Source: RNAcentral
GACGAACGCUGGCGGCGUGCUUAACACAUGCAAGUCGAACGGAAAGGCCCUGCUUUUGUGGGGUGCUCGAGUGGCGAACGGGUGAGUAACACGUGAGUAACCUGCCCUUGACUUUGGGAUAACUUCAGGAAAAUGGGGCUAAUACCGGAUAGGAGCUCCUGCUGCAUGGUGGGGGAUGGAAAGUUUCGGCGGUUGGGGAUGGACUCGCGGCUUAUCAGCUUGUUGGUGGGGUAGUGGCUUACCAAGGCUUUGACGGGUAGCCGGCCUGAGAGGGUGACCGGCCACAUUGCGACUGAGAUACGGCCCAGACUCCUACGGGAGGCAGCAGUGGGGAAUAUUGCGCAAUGGGCGGAAGCCUGAUGCAGCAACGCCGCGUGCGGGAUGACGGCCUUCGGGUUGUAAACCGCUUUCGCCUGUGACGAAGCGUGAGUGACGGUAAUGGGUAAAGAAGCACCGGCUAACUACGUG